RNAcentral lists this ribosomal RNA (275 nucleotides) under uncultured bacterium. Its description in RNAcentral is "partial 16S ribosomal RNA". It matches the Rfam family "Bacterial small subunit ribosomal RNA", at positions 338 to 608 of the family's 1533-position model. The record is from RNAcentral.
CCUACGGGUGGCUGCAGUCGAGAAUCUUCGGCAAUGGGCGCAAGCCUGACCGAGCGACGCCACGUGCGGGAUGACGGCCCUCGGGUUGUAAACCGCUGUCGGGGGGGAUGAAGUCACGGGGGGUCCUCCCCUCGUGUUGACAGAGCCCCGGAGGAAGCGCGGGCUAAGUACGUGCCAGCAGCCGCGGUAAGACGUACUGCGCGAACGUUAUUCGGAAUCACUGGGCUUAAAGGGUGCGCAGGCGGCUCCUCAAGCCCGAAGUGAAAGGUCCCGGC